RNAcentral lists this transfer RNA (72 nucleotides) under Gaeumannomyces tritici R3-111a-1. Its description in RNAcentral is "tRNA-Thr (AGT) (tRNA-Thr-AGT-1 1 to 6)". It matches the Rfam family "tRNA". From Rfam's summary of the family: Transfer RNA (tRNA) molecules are approximately 80 nucleotides in length. Their secondary structure includes four short double-helical elements and three loops (D, anti-codon, and T loops). RNAcentral also lists the same sequence under 1 other name. The record is from RNAcentral. Lineage: Eukaryota; Fungi; Ascomycota; Sordariomycetes; Magnaporthales; Magnaporthaceae.
GCCCGCUUGGCUUAGUGGUAAAGCGUAUCACUAGUAAUGAUAAGAUCGUCAGUUCGAUUCUGACAGUGGGCA